GUCCAUGGCUAUACCACCCUGAACAUGCCUGAUCUCAUGUGAUCUCAAAAGCUAAGCAGGGUCGGGCCUGGUUAGUACUUGGAUGGGAGAAUUAUGUUAAUGUUACUAUAAAUU
Molecule: ribosomal RNA, 114 nt
Filed under: Fukomys damarensis (Damara mole-rat)
Lineage: Eukaryota; Metazoa; Chordata; Mammalia; Rodentia; Bathyergidae
Source: RNAcentral